Molecule: ribosomal RNA, 274 nt
Filed under: uncultured bacterium
Lineage: Bacteria
Description: partial 16S ribosomal RNA
Rfam family: Bacterial small subunit ribosomal RNA
Source: RNAcentral
AUACGGAGGGUGCAAGCGUUAAUCGGAAUUACUGGGCGUAAAGCGUACGUAGGCGGUUCGUUAAGUUAGAUGUGAAAGCCCCGGGCUUAACCUGGGAACUGCAUUUAAAACUGGCAGACUAGAGUUUGAUAGAGGAGAGUGGAAUUUCAGGUGUAGCGGUGAAAUGCGUAGAGAUCUGAAGGAACAUCAGUGGCGAAGGCGACUCUCUGGAUUAAAACUGACGCUGAGGUACGAAAGCGUGGGUAGCAAACAGAAUUAGAAACCCUAGUAGUCC